GAGUUGGAUUGAGUGAAGGUAGGUCUACUUGAGUUUGACCCUUAUGAUUAAGAAAAAUUGGGGUGAUUCCUCCAUCCUGGAUUGUAUGUUGGUGCAUAGGAGUCAUUUAUGGAUCUCUGAUAGGCUACAUUCACCUGUGCUACUUCGUUCUCGAUUGGGCCCAUCAAGAAAGGAUAUUCUUCCAUUGUGUGGUUUGUGGCAUUACACCCAUUGCAAGUGGAUGUUGAAACUUGGCUCACUUAGGUGUGUCCCUUGAGUUCUAGGACCUUUAUCCCAUAGAUCAAAGAUGUAAAUUUAGCCUCUUCAGUUAGAGAAAGUUGAACUUGAUGUACACUCCCUCUUGAAGGUGUGAGUCUAUC
This 359-nucleotide long non-coding RNA is filed under the name Elaeis guineensis (African oil palm). RNAcentral describes it as "long non-coding RNA (EGUI_LNC022973)". Lineage: Eukaryota; Viridiplantae; Streptophyta; Magnoliopsida; Arecales; Arecaceae. The record is from RNAcentral.